Molecule: ribosomal RNA, 559 nt
Filed under: Bacillus subtilis
Lineage: Bacteria; Bacillati; Bacillota; Bacilli; Caryophanales; Bacillaceae
Description: bacterial SSU rRNA
Rfam family: Bacterial small subunit ribosomal RNA
Source: RNAcentral
CAUGCAAGUCGAGCGGACAGAUGGGAGCUUGCUCCCUGAUGUUAGCGGCGGACGGGUGAGUAACACGUGGGUAACCUGCCUGUAAGACUGGGAUAACUCCGGGAAACCGGGGCUAAUACCGGAUGGUUGUUUGAACCGCAUGGUUCAAACAUAAAAGGUGGCUUCGGCUACCACUUACAGAUGGACCCGCGGCGCAUUAGCUAGUUGGUGAGGUAACGGCUCACCAAGGCAACGAUGCGUAGCCGACCUGAGAGGGUGAUCGGCCACACUGGGACUGAGACACGGCCCAGACUCCUACGGGAGGCAGCAGUAGGGAAUCUUCCGCAAUGGACGAAAGUCUGACGGAGCAACGCCGCGUGAGUGAUGAAGGUUUUCGGAUCGUAAAGCUCUGUUGUUAGGGAAGAACAAGUACCGUUCGAAUAGGGCGGUACCUUGACGGUACCUAACCAGAAAGCCACGGCUAACUACGUGCCAGCAGCCGCGGUAAUACGUAGGUGGCAAGCGUUGUCCGGAAUUAUUGGGCGUAAAGGGCUCGCAGGCGGUUUCUUAAGUCUGAUGU